This 53-nucleotide transfer RNA is filed under the name Triticum aestivum (bread wheat). It matches the Rfam family "tRNA". Rfam says of the family: Transfer RNA (tRNA) molecules are approximately 80 nucleotides in length. Their secondary structure includes four short double-helical elements and three loops (D, anti-codon, and T loops). Further hydrogen bonds mediate the characteristic L-shaped molecular structure. tRNAs have two regions of fundamental functional importance: the anti-codon, which is responsible for specific mRNA codon recognition, and the 3' end, to which the tRNAs corresponding amino acid is attached (by aminoacyl-tRNA synthetases). tRNAs cope with the degeneracy of the genetic code in two manners: having more than one tRNA (with a specific anti-codon) for a particular amino acid; and 'wobble' base-pairing, i.e. permitting non-standard base-pairing at the 3rd anti-codon position. The record is from Rfam by way of RNAcentral. Lineage: Eukaryota; Viridiplantae; Streptophyta; Magnoliopsida; Poales; Poaceae.
GCUGGAAUAGCUCAGAUGGUUAGAGCGUAUGGCUGUUAACCAUACUUCUAGCG